GAUGAACGCUGGCGGCGUGCCUAAUACAUGCAAGUCGAGCGAACAGACGAGGAGCUUGCUCCUCUGACGUUAGCGGCGGACGGGUGAGUAACACGUGGAUAACCUACCUAUAAGACUGGGAUAACUUCGGGAAACCGGAGCUAAUACCGGAUAAUAUAUUGAACCGCAUGGUUCAAUAGUGAAAGACGGUUUUGCUGUCACUUAUAGAUGGAUCCGCGCCGCAUUAGCUAGUUGGUAAGGUAACGGCUUACCAAGGCAACGAUGCGUAGCCGACCUGAGAGGGUGAUCGGCCACACUGGAACUGAGACACGGUCCAGACUCCUACGGGAGGCAGCAGUAGGGAAUCUUCCGCAAUGGGCGAAAGCCUGACGGAGCAACGCCGCGUGAGUGAUGAAGGUCUUCGGAUCGUAAAACUCUGUUAUUAGGGAAGAACAAAUGUGUAAGUAACGAUGCACGUCUGGACGGUACCUAAUCAGAAAGCCACGGCUAACUACGU
RNAcentral lists this ribosomal RNA (496 nucleotides) under uncultured bacterium. Its description in RNAcentral is "partial 16S ribosomal RNA". It matches the Rfam family "Bacterial small subunit ribosomal RNA", at positions 28 to 506 of the family's 1533-position model. The record is from RNAcentral.